UACAGAGGGGGCAAGCGUUGUUCGGAAUUACUGGGCGUAAAGGGCGCGUAGGCGGCCUUCUAAGUCGAACGUGAAAUCCCCGGGCUCAACCCGGGAACUGCGUCCGAGACUGGAAGGCUCGAAUCCGGGAGAGGGAUGUGGAAUUCCAGGUGUAGCGGUGAAAUGCGUAGAUAUCUGGAGGAACAUCGGUGGCGAAGGCGGCAUCCUGGACCGGUAUUGACGCUGAGGAGCGAAAGCCAGGGGAGCAAACGGG
Molecule: ribosomal RNA, 253 nt
Filed under: uncultured bacterium
Lineage: Bacteria
Description: partial 16S ribosomal RNA
Rfam family: Bacterial small subunit ribosomal RNA
Source: RNAcentral